This 450-nucleotide ribosomal RNA is filed under the name uncultured bacterium. RNAcentral describes it as "partial 16S ribosomal RNA". It matches the Rfam family "Bacterial small subunit ribosomal RNA", at positions 338 to 795 of the family's 1533-position model. The record is from RNAcentral.
CCUACGGGUGGCUGCAGUGGGGAAUUUUGGACAAUGGGGGCAACCCUGAUCCAGCCAUUCCGCGUGAGUGAAGAAGGCCUUCGGGUUGUAAAGCUCUUUCAGCAGGAACGAAACGGUGGCCCCUAAUACGGGCUACUAAUGACGGUACCUGAAGAAGAAGCACCGGCUAACUACGUGCCAGCAGCCGCGGUAAUACGUAGGGUGCGAGCGUUAAUCGGAGCGACUGGGCGUGAUGCCUGCGCAGGGGGUUGAAAUCCCCGGGCUUAACCUGGGAACUGCGGGUGUGACUGUGGGACUCGAGUGUGGCAGAGGGGGGUGGAAUUCCACGUGUAGCAGUGAAAUGCGUAGAGAUGUGGAGGAACACCGAUGGCGAAGGCAGCCCCCUGGGUCAACACUGACGCUCAUGCACGAAAGCGUGGGGAGCAAACAGGAUUAGAUACCCGAGUAGUC